This 303-nucleotide ribosomal RNA is filed under the name uncultured bacterium. RNAcentral describes it as "partial 16S ribosomal RNA". It matches the Rfam family "Bacterial small subunit ribosomal RNA", at positions 507 to 808 of the family's 1533-position model. The record is from RNAcentral.
AGCAGCAGCCGCGGGAAUACGUAGGUCCCGAGCGUUGUCCGGAUUUAUUGGGCGUAAAGCGAGCGCAGGCGGUUAGAUAAGUCUGAAGUUAAAGGCUGUGGCUUAACCAUAGUACGCUUUGGAAACUGUUUAACUUGAGUGCAAGAGGGGAGAGUGGAAUUCCAUGUGUAGCGGUGAAAUGCGUAGAUACAUGGAGGAACACCGGUGGCGAAAGCGGCUCUCUGGCUUGUAACUGACGCUGAGGCUCGAAAGCGUGGGGAGCAAACAGGAUUAGAUACCCCGGUAGUCCCUGUCUCUUAUACA